UGCAGUCGAGCGGAUGAAAGAGAGCUUGCUCUCUGAUUCAGCGGCGGACGGGUGAGUAAUGCCUAGGAAUCUGCCUGGUAGUGGGGGACAACGUCUCGAAAGGGACGCUAAUACCGCAUACGUCCUACGGGAGAAAGCAGGGGACCUUCGGGCCUUGCGCUAUCAGAUGAGCCUAGGUCGGAUUAGCUAGUUGGUGAGGUAAUGGCUCACCAAGGCGACGAUCCGUAACUGGUCUGAGAGGAUGAUCAGUCACACUGGAACUGAGACACGGUCCAGACUCCUACGGGAGGCAGCAGUGGGGAAUAUUGGACAAUGGGCGAAAGCCUGAUCCAGCCAUGCCGCGUGUGUGAAGAAGGUCUUCGGAUUGUAAAGCACUUUAAGUUGGGAGGAAGGGCAGUAAGCGAAUACCUUGCUGUUUUGACGUUACCGACAGAAUAAGCACCGGCUAACUCUGUGCCAGCAGCCGCGGUAAUACAGAGGGUGCAAGCGUUAAUCGGAAUUACUGGGCGUAAAGCGCGCGUAGGUGGUUUGUUAAGUUGAAUGUGAAAUCCCCGGGCUCAACCUGGGAACUGCAUCCAAAACUGGCAAGCUAGAGUAGGGCAGAGGGUGGUGGAAUUUCCUGUGUAGCGGUGAAAUGCGUA
Molecule: ribosomal RNA, 641 nt
Filed under: Pseudomonas graminis
Lineage: Bacteria; Pseudomonadati; Pseudomonadota; Gammaproteobacteria; Pseudomonadales; Pseudomonadaceae
Description: bacterial SSU rRNA
Rfam family: Bacterial small subunit ribosomal RNA
Source: RNAcentral